RNAcentral lists this unclassified non-coding RNA (222 nucleotides) under uncultured Solirubrobacteraceae bacterium. RNAcentral describes it as "contains 16S-23S intergenic spacer region". Lineage: Bacteria; Bacillati; Actinomycetota; Thermoleophilia; Solirubrobacterales; Solirubrobacteraceae. The record is from RNAcentral.
UCCGGUUUGUCACCGGCAGUCUCGCAUGAGUCCCCAACUAAAUGCUGGCAACAUACGACGGGGGUUGCGCUCGUUGCGGGACUUAACCCAACAUCUCACGACACGAGCUGACGACAGCCAUGCACCACCUGUGAUCCUGCCCCGAAGGGAAGCCCUGUUUCCAGGACGGUCAGGAACAUGUCAAACCCAGGUAAGGUGGGGAUGACGUAGUCGGAUUCUAAG